AUUCAUUAGUGAGAGCAAUGCACUACAAAACAACAAUCAGAGUCGACUUGAUUUUGAAAAACACUUGUAGAUAGCUAUAGAGAUGAAAGGAUGAUUGAAGAUAAGAAAAUACACAAAGAUAGUUCGACCAGAAAUAUUCCUAUAAAUAAAUUGGCAGCAACUUAAGAAUUUCAGAACUGUAGCAUAUUACGAUUGCCAAACAGUACUUAUUAUACAAACCGUAUAAAAAAAUGAAAGCCAUACUUUCUGUAGCAUUCAUCGCAAUUUUGGUAGUAAUGGUUUCUUCUCGUAACCCUCACAACAUCAAAAGAAAUGAUGAACAUGAGGAUGUUUCGGAGUUGAAGGAAUCUCUCCCAGAGCAUAUCGAAGAAAACAGCGUGGGAAUUGAAGUUUUCGAAUCAGACGAGAAAAGUAUUCUAUGUGACGACUUGGGCUGCCAAAACGCCUGCAUGCUGAAGGGAUUCAAAAAUGGUUAUUGCUUACUUUUACUAUGCAUUUGUUUCUAAUUUAUUCAAAUACGCAAAUUCACUAUGAAUGUAUGUUGUAGAUAAUUCACACGUUUCAGUCAGUCAAUAUUCUGAUUAUAUUUUGAAAUACUGCCUUUAUAUGUACUGCAAGUUAUCCUAAAUAAUUCAAUAAAACAUCAACAAAUUCAA
Long non-coding RNA from Leptinotarsa decemlineata (Colorado potato beetle), 656 nucleotides. The record is from RefSeq and is a predicted model, not a curated record. Lineage: Eukaryota; Metazoa; Arthropoda; Insecta; Coleoptera; Chrysomelidae.